This 440-nucleotide ribosomal RNA is filed under the name uncultured bacterium. RNAcentral describes it as "partial 16S ribosomal RNA". It matches the Rfam family "Bacterial small subunit ribosomal RNA", at positions 338 to 795 of the family's 1533-position model. The record is from RNAcentral.
CCUACGGGUGGCAGCAGUGGGGAAUAUUGCACAAUGGGGGAAACCCUGAUCCAGCGACGCCGCGUGAGUGAAGAAGUAUUUCGUUAUGUAAAGCUCUAUCAGCAGGGAAGAAAAUGACGGUACUUGAGUAGUAAGCCCCGGCUAACUACGUGCCAGCAGCCGCGGUAAUACGUCGGGGGCAAGCGUUAUCCGGAUGUACUGGGUGUAAGGGGAGCGUAGACGGCAGUGCAAGUCUGGAGUGAAAGGCGGGGGCCCAACCCCCGGACUGCUCUGGAAACUGUACGGCUGGAGUGCAGGAGAGGUAAGUGGAAUUCCUAGGGUAGCGGUGAAAUGCGUAGAUAUUAGGAGGAACACCAGUGGCGAAGGCGGCUUACUGGACUGUAACUGACGUUGAGGCUCGAAAGCGUGGGGAGCAAACAGGAUUAGAUACCCCAGUAGUC